UUCCGGUUGAUCCUGCCGGAGGUCACUGCUAUCGGUGUUCGACUAAGCCAUGCGAGUCAAAUGUUCUUCGUGAACAUGGCGUACUGCUCAGUAACACGUGGAUAACCUGCCCUUGGGACCGGCAUAACCCCGGGAAACUGGGGAUAAUUCCGGAUAACGCAUAUUUGCUGGAAUGCUUUAUGCGUCAAAAGGAUUCGUCUGCCCAAGGAUGGGUCUGCGGCCUAUCAGGUAGUAGUGGGUGUAAUGUACCUACUAGCCAGCGACGGGUACGGGUUGUGAGAGCAAGAGCCCGGAGAUGGAUUCUGAGACAUGAAUCCAGGCCCUACGGGGCGCAGCAGGCGCGAAAACUUUACAAUGCGGGAAACCGUGAUAAGGGGACACCGAGUGCCAGCAUCAUAUGCUGGCUGUCCGGAUGUGUAAAAUACAUCCGUUAGCAAGGGCCGGGCAAGACCGGUGCCAGCCGCCGCGGUAACACCGGCGGCCCGAGUGGUGAUCGUGAUUAUUGGGUCUAAAGGGUCCGUAGCCGGUUUGGUCAGUCCUCCGGGAAAUCUGAUAGCUCAACUAUUAGGCUUUCGGGGGAUACUGCCAGACUUGGAACCGGGAGAGGUAAGAGGUACUACAGGGGUAGGAGUGAAAUCUUGUAAUCCCUGUGGGACCACCUGUGGCGAAGGCGUCUUACCAGAACGGGUUCGACGGUGAGGGACGAAAGCUGGGGGCACGAACCGGAUUAGAUACCCGGGUAGUCCCAGCCGUAAACGAUGCUCGCUAGGUGUCAGGCAUGGCGCGACCGUGUCUGGUGCCGCAGGGAAGCCGUGAAGCGAGCCACCUGGGAAGUACGGCCGCAAGGCUGAAACUUAAAGGAAUUGGCGGGGGAGCACAA
Molecule: ribosomal RNA, 880 nt
Filed under: Methanosarcina sp. enrichment culture clone AM11
Lineage: Archaea; Methanobacteriati; Methanobacteriota; Methanomicrobia; Methanosarcinales; Methanosarcinaceae
Description: bacterial SSU rRNA
Rfam family: Archaeal small subunit ribosomal RNA
Source: RNAcentral